RNAcentral lists this transfer RNA (74 nucleotides) under Bacteroidales bacterium. RNAcentral describes it as "tRNA-Arg". It matches the Rfam family "tRNA". From Rfam's summary of the family: Transfer RNA (tRNA) molecules are approximately 80 nucleotides in length. Their secondary structure includes four short double-helical elements and three loops (D, anti-codon, and T loops). Further hydrogen bonds mediate the characteristic L-shaped molecular structure. tRNAs have two regions of fundamental functional importance: the anti-codon, which is responsible for specific mRNA codon recognition, and the 3' end, to which the tRNAs corresponding amino acid is attached (by aminoacyl-tRNA synthetases). tRNAs cope with the degeneracy of the genetic code in two manners: having more than one tRNA (with a specific anti-codon) for a particular amino acid; and 'wobble' base-pairing, i.e. permitting non-standard base-pairing at the 3rd anti-codon position. The record is from RNAcentral. Lineage: Bacteria; Pseudomonadati; Bacteroidota; Bacteroidia; Bacteroidales.
GGACCAUUAGCUCAAUUGGAUAGAGUAUCUGACUACGGAUCAGAAGGUUGGGGGUUCGACUCCCUCAUGGUUCA